GAAAGUUCGAUGAAAUUUUCAUGCUAUAUAACCUUUUAUAGGAUAAGAUCUUUGGUAGGCAAUUAAUUAAAUGUAUUGUUUUGUAAAAAGGUUUUGGAUAAUAAGUUGAGGGCAAUAUGAUUCUUUUGAGAAGUUUCUGAAUUACUUGAGAUUUUGGCACUAAAUAGAUCCAUGCAUUAUUGGUGAAAUACAACUAUAUUUUUAGUUCUAUAUCUUGUAUUAAUUUUCUAUUUCUAAGUAUGCUGUCUUCCCCUGACAUUUUCAUUAUAUGACAAAGGAUACUGGCUAAUCGGCAGUCUGCUGCUCGCUCAAAGGAGAGGAAAGCUUGCUAUAUACAGGAACUUGAGCGAAAAGUUUAGACUCUUCAAACAGAAGCUACAACUCUAUCUGCCCAACUCACACUCUUCCAGGGAAUAUUGACUACUCUUUCCCAAAGCAAUGGUAAGUACAUGUAUGACUAUGCAACUAUUUCAUUUCUUGUUGAAGUAUUCAAGGUACUUCUCUUAAUUUAACAAGUAAAAUCAUUUUCACUUUUCCUCUUGGUUCGUGGUUGAAAAGUAGUUUUGGUUUUCCAGCUAUCUAGUGAUAUUUAUUUUUUCCUUUCCACCCAUACAUCACAUAUAUUGAUUUUCUUUUACGAUUUUGUCUUUUAAACUGUAGCUAUGAGUCUCUAGUUUACUACUAUGGAGAGAAUGUCGAGCAUCACCUUAGUUUAAAGAACUAAGACUUUUAAAUUGAGACUAUCAGGUAUGUAUUCCUUAGUUUAAAGAAAUAAGACUAACUACUUAAGCCAUGAGGCUAUCCAGUUUGAUAAGAAAAAUACAACUUUUAUAUAAAUCAUUUUUGUGACUGAAAACCACAUUCAUCCUUUAUUAUUUCUUCUGCAACCUCAAGUUCUCUAUUUAUUUUAGUUUUGGUUUGACUUUAAUGGUGUUUAUUCUGUAUUGUAGGCUAAAACUCUACUUGGAUAUUUACGAGAACCAAGACAAUUAUAUAAGAGAACCAAGGCAACAAGAAAUUCUUCUUCAAGUUGUUGGGUAUUAUUUUCUUUCUUGCUUGUAAGAAUUAUGUACAUUGAGGAUUUGAUGUAUUAUUUACAUUGAGAAUAAUGAAUUUUUAUUGAGAAUUAUAAUGAAUUUUUAUUGCGAA
Humulus lupulus (European hop) is the source of this 1149-nucleotide long non-coding RNA. RefSeq lists it as uncharacterized. The transcript has 2 exons. The record is from RefSeq and is a predicted model, not a curated record. NCBI's taxonomy places the organism in Eukaryota, Viridiplantae, Streptophyta, Magnoliopsida, Rosales, Cannabaceae.